UCAGUGUGGGGCAGCAGCAGCUGUGGCAGAUUUGGGAGUGCUGGUUUUGUGCAAAGCUGCAGCACUCCUAGUGGUGGAACAUGGUGCUACAUGUCUGCAAAAUCAACCAGACGGUAGGAGACACAUGCUGAUUGAGAGAGCUUGUGUGCCUUAGUAUUGCUUUGUAUUGCAUUGCCUGGUUUUUGUGUGUUGUGUUUUUGCAGUGGCAGUGACACGUGUUUGUGUGUGUGGCUGAUGGUGGCAGUGGGUGGAACAUGCGUGACUUCUGUCUCAUCCCACAACAGUACGUGUGCUACGUAUUGUGUAUGUGCAUCAAAAAUCGCUGGCACUGUGUGUUCAUUUGCUCAUCCAGGCCCAUGCUGUGUUCAUUUGACCCCUUCUAUGUGUGAGACAGUGUUUCUGAUUUGUAAAUGUCAGUGGAAAUGGCAUGCCAACAGAGGUUCUGAAGAAGUGUUGUGUUGUGUGACAAUAAUGGACAUACAUAACUGAGAGGCAAGUCGGAAACAAACAUGUUUGGGCUAAACAAACUUUGAGUCCUCUUGAGUUCCAGUGCAGACUGUCUUUGCUUUUCAGAUGAAUAUGGAGGCAGUCAAUGUGGCAGGCCUUUAUCUUUAUCUGUAUGGGGGCAGCUGUGGCCUAGAGGUUGGAGAAGCGGCUUGUGAUCGGAGGGUCACUGGUUCGAUUCCCUCAGUGGAUGGGCACACAUGUUUGUGGUGGAGUGAUUAAUGUGAAAGAUGCUCCCCCCCUCCAUUAGCUGGCUGAUGUGCCCUUGAGCAAGGCACUUAACCCACCAGUAUGCUCCCCGGGCGCUUGAUGCAGCCCACUGCUCGUGUGUGUGUUUCACUGCAUGUAAUUUGCUGGGUGUUGCAUGUGUGUUCAACUAAGGAUGGGUCAAAUGCAGAAAUUAAAUUCAGUAUGUUUAGAAUCGCUGCCAAUAAAGCGAUUCUAAAUUCUUAAUUCUGUAUAGGUGGACAGAAUUGUUCAUUGAUAAGCAAUUUGAUGCAUUAUGUAGCUAAAGGUGAUUAAAAUUCAAGUACAGCAUGUACACUCAUCACAAAGCACAUAGUCUCUGUAACACCAUAUAUUCCUGUUGUCACAGGGGACUGGUGUUGAUGAAGACUUUGUUGAGGUUUUAUUUUGUUUCCAUGACAAAGGUAUGCAGCUCUGAUCUUGUCUGCUUGCGUCUGUGCAAGAGAAUGUACUGUCAGGUUGCUCUGGUCAUAUUAAGCUGAUUGUAUGCCUAUAUGGUUCACUAUAGUGGGAGGAUAGGCAGGGCAGCCAGGGACUAUCCGGACUCUGCACAGCUCCUGCAUUAUAGAGUUCACCAGAGGGUCAAAAGCGUCACCACAUACAUCACAGCUGUAGCAGAACAGCACACACCGUUACUAUGGCGAUCUGCCAUUUUUUCCCCCCGCCGUGCUAAGCCAAACAGUGGUGGGUGGGUGUCGAGAUAUGAGAAAAGACAAAAGGGAUUGUGUGCCCGAUCUUAUAUAUGUUUCAGAGAGUGCAUAUGUAGAGCAAGUGUGUUUAUUUGGCCAGCGGUGUUUCGGUUACUGCUAGAGAGACACGUGUGCCUUAUUUGUUUGGUCUGACUAUCUGUGGUCUCAGCUGUACUCAUCAGCAAGCCUGUGCAACAAUAGCUAAGGUGCCCGUGGUGGGAAUUGCACAGCGUGAUAAAACUGGCAAAAUGACGUUGUCAGAAGCUCCAUUGAACAUAAUCAGGCUGUGGUAGAUGGGCUCGGCUGUUGGGUUUGGGACCAUAAGUCUGGCGAUUAAACAUGCAUGGGGUGAAUCCUUCAUCAUGGGGCGAAACAAAGCCGCCCUGCCCUCCCCACGUGUUUCAACAUCGCCAUGGAAAAAGCCUGUUUCCCUGGCAACCAAACUGGCUCUCUUUGUCACAGGAAUGGGGAAGGAGGAGGAGGCAGGCGAGGAGCAGGGGGGAGCUGAGUGGAGGCAUGACAGUCCACACUGACCUCCACCUGACCUCUAGGUGAACAUGCCAUAUUGGUUUCCUGCUUUCCUGGAGGGAACACUGUGAUUGGUCAUUUUUGACAAGAUUUGUCUAAACUUCUCUCUCCUUAAGUUUGACACAGUCUCACAGACACUUACAAUGUUUCUGUUCAAAAAUAUCAUACACAUUUACACAGUAGAGAGACCAAAUGUUCUAGGACAGCAAGAGGAAGGACAUUUACAUGAGCUGUCAUUCCUCCAUACUGACAGACAGUGCUGCCUGAGUGCUUUCCCAAAAACCGACAUCUUUUCUUCUACUGCCCCCAGUGGCUGGUUGUAGGACCAGUGAAGGUGAAACAGGGAGAAUGAAAAGCCCUGGGUGAAGGAGAAAUGACUCAAAGCAAGGAAAUGGAGGAUGCAGUUCAGAAAGCGUAGUGGUGAGAAAAAGACAAUGGCUUGUUAAUACAGGCAGCCAGAAAAAAGAGGAAGGGAGACAAAGUGAGACGCCGCUUUUAUGUCGGCUGGUGCUCUCCCUAAUGUUAACCUAGUGUUUCCCUAAUGGCCCUAAUGACAUAUGGAGCACAGAUUGCAGCAGGAGCCAGCUCUCUCUGAAACCGCUGUCGCCUCCCUCAGGGCUUUGCAAACACUACAUUAUGAAGAUGCGGUGACUAAAAACACAGGUCAAAUAUGGUGAACUUUAAUGGUUAUCAAAUCCUAACUGAAAGGAUCUUUUCUUGACUUCAGACAUCUUUAUGUGUGAUUGUAAACAGCUCUCAAAAGAUGUAGUGCUUUCUUUUUCAAUCUCUGACAAGCUCUGGCCUGUAUGACAUCUCCCUAAGCAUUUCCUGGCGGCAUAUCGCCCGCCAUUUUGUUUCAAUUUGUUCACAACGCCGAUAUCUCUUCCUCCUCUCGGCUCCUUCAGUCUGUCCACAUCUUGCUUGUCGUCUGGCCGUCAUCUUCUCAUGGACUGUUACUGAUGAUAUCGGAUUGCUGUUGGCUUUACAGCGCUGGAAAGUGGAGCUAAUGGGCUUUCAAAUGCUUUAUUGUGAAUGCAACCUGUCAAGAGGGAAGAGAUAGGAUCAGAUUUGAUUAGGGGGCGAGAGCAGCAGAAUAAAACAUAUUCAAAAAUUGAAGGAGUUUGUUUUUCUGCAUGUCCAUGUGCAGCAUGUGGAAGAAACUUCAUAAAAUAUAUUCAGUCAAAUUUAGUGUUUUGCACCAAUCUCAUUAGAUGCCCUUGGAUCAUCCUUAUCUCAUCAAGUGUUCAUCAUCCCUUCUCCCGUUCUGCUUUCCCUUUUCUCCUCAUUUUCCCCUUCCCAUGUGUAUUCCUCCCCAGCAGAGCAGAGAGUAACACUGCCUCUUUUGGCUGGAUGUGGUAAAUGUGCUCCUCUCUGGCAGAUGAAUGAUGUCAAACAGACAUAUUUAUAUUCAUUUAGGGCUGAGGAGGAGGAGAACCCAUCUGUAACGGAUGUGAUAGGAACCGCUAUGUGUGAGUGUGCACGCAUUUAGGUGUGUGUGUGUAUGUGUGUGCGUGUAGGCACACGCGUGUUCGAGCAUGUGUUCCAAGGUAUCCAUCGUUUGUGAUAAAUGAAUCGUGCUUUUGUGUGAGUUGAUACUGUGUUUGCGGAUUUGUGUGUGUGUUUACAAUGUGUGUGUGUGUCUGUGUGUGUCUCCGUGCAAGCGAGGUCAUUCCCCGGUCACUCGUUCAGGCUGUGUGAUGAAUGAAGAGGAGAGGUGCCUGCAAAGCCGGAGAGAUUUGGGAGAAACAUUGUUCUACGGGGCUAAAAAAUGGUCUUGUGUUGUGCCAGAGGCUGGGGGAAUGUUUCUAAAAAAAAAAUGAGAAAUGAGGGGGAAGUGCCUGCGUUUGGGUUGGACAGCAGGCUGGUGGGGUCAGAGACAUCUGACUCAACCAGGAAGUAUCAAGUUGCAGUAGACCGGAAGUCAGUGGACCAAACAGGAAGGACUUUACGCAGAGGAGGCUACUGAAAGCCAGCAACCAUUAGUGUCUGUCAGCUGGGGAUGAAAAAUGGAUGUGCAUUUUUGUGUGUUAGUUAGUUUAGUCAAAUUUAUAUACAAAAUAUUUUGUCUUUGUCUUUGUCUUCUUGUUCUUCUUGAAUGAAUCCUAUUUUUACUUUCAUUUCAAAAUGACCUGAACAUUUUUCAUCAAAUGUGGGGAAAAUUUUUUUUUAAUUUAUCUAAACUGUCAGACACUGAAUUUGGAACUACUGCGAGGUGUGUAAGAUACUUAUCACUAGUCUGGAUGUAGGCUUGAUAGAGGUCUGACUGGACCAACUGCUGAGGAUGAUGUCUGUCUCUGUGUGUGUGUGUGUGUGUGUGUGUCUGUUUGUGUGUACGCGCUUGGGACAGUGUGGUCAGGCAGAAGUGCAUUGUGGGAUCGAUGUCCACACCUCACCCUAAAUUAUUCAUCCUGUCAACUGGCCUGUCCACCAUUGCAGUGGAAACCGCUGACCAAGAGCUUUACCUCCAUCCCUACGGAUUCACCUCUUCAUCCCCUCCUCGGCCCUCACUUCCUUCUCUCUCUUUCCCUCAUUAUCUCCUCCCUGAUUCGUUCAUUUGCCAACUCUCUCACUCUCACUCCUACUUUCAGUCUUCCUUACGUCCCCAAUCUUUUCAUCAGUCUUUCCUCUACUCCCAUUAUUCAGUAUAUCUGUCUUCCUCAUUAGUCCUGAACUCCCACUAAAUCACUUUCUAUUUCUUUCUCUCUCUUUUUUUCUCUUCCUGUCUUUCUCCAUGUUGACAUUCUCUCCUCUGCUACCCCCGUGCUGCUGACUAAGAUUAUAAUGUGUCGGCUUUGUAGGCUGUUUAUGUUUGUGUCUUUGAAGUCUGCCCCAGUGGCCUCUUGGAAGACAGCCAUAAUCCUAGCACGCCAGAGGUUGUUCAGUGUGCUGUGUAUGUGUGUGUAUUCAUCUUCAUACAUGUGUGAAUGCACGUGUGCGCAUGAUCAACUCUGAGUGCAGUGUGUGUGCGCAAGUGUGCAAGUGUGAGUCAGUAAUUGUGACAUGGCUCAUACAUCAUGGCCAGAGCCCGUUUGAUUACAAGCGGAGGGGCCCGGUGAUUAAUCGUUGGAUUCAGCUUCCUGGCCCGAGUUGUGACACCCGGUCACAGAGCAUCUGUACUGACACACCCCCUUAGCCCCACUGCCCUGCUCCAGCGUACCUCUAUACCGCCCGCACCCCUACACACACACUCACACACACCCAAAUACCCCCUACCUUCCCCUCACUUCCUCCCCAGCACUCCAUUACCUUUUGCCCUUCUCUCCCCUCUGAAAACACACACCUUACCUCUUUCUUUUCUGUCUCACCGGCCCUGCUUCUUUUGUACUCCUCUGACUCCUGUUUUAUCUUAGCCCAGCCCUCCUACUCUAUUCCCCCUCUCCCCCACGUCCAGCACAACCGUAUAUCUUGUCUUUACCACUUUGCUCCCCACCUCUGCGCUCCGUCAUCUUGCUUCUCUUCCCUAACCUUUCUUUUUCGAGGCAUUUUUUGCAACCCACAGCUUUGUAUUACUCUUGCUGCUUUGAUCUUAUCGCCUUUAGCCUUGCUGUUUUUACCCUUUCCCACAAGCUAUGACCCCUCCUUUCCUUCUUUUAUAUAUACCAGCCACUCUAGGCCUUUUCUUUAAUCUGAUUCUGCUCCCCUGAAAAUGUAUCUAUUUCAUGCACACACAAGCAGUCACACAUAAAAUAUAUUCAUCCUUGUACAAACACCGCACACACACUCAUAUCGCUGCAAAGCCAAAAUCCUCUUCUCUAUCUCAGCAUCUAAAAGGAUGUUAACCCCUCUCCACCUGCCAGUUAAGGUCAUGUGAUUCAGGUCCCUGAGGCCCAAAGCAGCCCUUAAUCCUACAAGCAACACUGAGGCCAAACAACUGCCCUUUUGUGCCUCUUGUAUGGUACUGUCAACUAAAACAUCUGGAAAUUGCAGCUUGAGCCAACUGUAAUUGUAAUUUUUUGAAAUGAGGGUCGUUUGUGCAAAUCAACGCUUACAUUUUUUUUUAUAUAUAUAUAUCAAAUGUUGCCAUUUGAUAUAUUUUCAUUUUGUCAUCAAGUGCCAUGAGAAGACCAGCAUUGACAGUUUUUUUUGUCCUUCUCUAAUGCUUUCCAUCUUCAUGAGGCUGAACAUGAAUCUCAACCCCCAGUCAUUUGGUUAAAUUAAAUAAUUUCCUAAAACAGCUAGGGAUUGUAGUUUUUAGCAAAUGUUACUCAAAGGGGAGUUAAUAAAGUAUUUUCCAGGGACUAUUUUGAGUGGUGGAAUUGUUUCAUAUUUGGUGUCCUAGCUUGUGUAUGGUGGUGAUUGAUUCAAAAUAUGUUUGUCAUAAUGAAGCAGCCUGUCACCCUGUGCAACUGUAUUGCUCUCUGAUGAGGUUUUGAUAGUUUUUUAACAACAGUGGAGCUCUACAUGUGGCAGAUGAAUGGGGCUUUAGCUACAAAGACAAUACUUAGUAGGAUCGAUUUGACAAACAGACAAAACAUUAAUAAAAUCAAAUCAUAUCCUGUAAACACAGGACAGAUUUUACAGUGACAGGAAAAGGAGGAAAAGUGUGAGAAAGCGAAGAUGCAGGAAAUAGUCAAUGGGAAACAAAGGGAGAAUCUGUGAGCAAGCAAGCUAGUAAGAAGCAGAGACAGUUUGUGUGUGUGUGUGUGUGUGUGUGUGUGUGUGUGUGUGCACGUGUGUGUGUGAAUGUGUGUGUGUGUGUGUGUGUGUGUGUGUUCCCCUGGCACCCACCUCCAUGCGGUAUCAGGAUGAGGAAUGGUCCUGCCAGCGAUCAGCCCAGGCCUGGACUCAAGCUCUGCACAAGGAUUCCCUGCUGAAACCAUUAGUCUGGGCAUUAAACACCAUUAGAGCACACACACACACACACACACACACACACAACAGAAGACUAGAGAGUGGAAGAGAGUGACUGCUAGAAGAAUUGGUGGAAGCUGAAGGUAAAAGAGCAAUAGUAGAGAAAGAACAAUAAAGAAAAGGAGGGAUGGAAGAUAUACAGAUAAGGGUGGAAGGGCAUUAAAAAUCCACUUUCCUUUAAUGUCUCGCUUCUCUCACCAUCAUCUACUCUAUUUGCCAUUUUGAAUGCAUAAUUAAUUAACGACAAGUAAGAAAUUAAUUUCCUGGAUAUCAGGAUUACUUUUUUUUUUUUUUUUUUUUUGCACAGGGUUACCUCAUCCUUCACCCACACUGCAUUUACUUUCAUUGUAUAGGUGACUGUGCAAUGACAAUAAAGACUAUCUUAUCUCUUA
Scatophagus argus is the source of this 7210-nucleotide long non-coding RNA. RefSeq lists it as uncharacterized. The record is from RefSeq and is a predicted model, not a curated record. Lineage: Eukaryota; Metazoa; Chordata; Actinopteri; Scatophagidae. The transcript is spliced from 2 exons.